RNAcentral lists this ribosomal RNA (251 nucleotides) under uncultured bacterium. RNAcentral describes it as "partial 16S ribosomal RNA". It matches the Rfam family "Bacterial small subunit ribosomal RNA", at positions 524 to 776 of the family's 1533-position model. The record is from RNAcentral.
UACGGAGGAUGCGAGCGUUAUCCGGAUUUAUUGGGUCUAAAGGGUGCGUAGGCGGACUGUCAAUCAGCGGUAAAAUUGAGAGGCUCAACCUCUUCCCGCCGUUGAAACUGGUGGUCUUGAGUGGAUGAGAAGUACGCGGAAUGCGUGGUGUAGCGGUGAAAUGCAUAGAUAUCACGCAGAACUCCGAUUGCGAAGGCAGCGUACCGGCAUCCAACUGACGCUGAGGCACGAAAGCGUGGGGAUCAAACAGG